This 1068-nucleotide ribosomal RNA is filed under the name Alicyclobacillus sp. enrichment culture clone MRT18-37. RNAcentral describes it as "bacterial SSU rRNA". It matches the Rfam family "Bacterial small subunit ribosomal RNA", at positions 336 to 1397 of the family's 1533-position model. The record is from RNAcentral. Lineage: Bacteria; Bacillati; Bacillota; Bacilli; Caryophanales; Alicyclobacillaceae.
CUCCUACGGGAGGCAGCAGUAGGGAAUCUUCCGCAAUGGGCGCAAGCCUGACGGAGCAACGCCGCGUGAGUGAGGAAGGCCUUCGGGUUGUAAAACUCAGUCACCUGGGAAGAGAGGUUUGGGGAGUGGAAUGCCCCAUACGAGACGGUACCAGGGGAGGAAGCCCCGGCUAACUACGUGCCAGCAGCCGCGGUAAUACGUAGGGGGCAAGCGUUGUCCGGAAUCACUGGGCGUAAAGCGUGCGUAGGCGGUCUUUCAAGUCCGGGAUGAAAACUCAAGGCUCAACCUUGAGAAUGCCUUGGAAACUGGGGGACUUGAGUACUGGAGAGGCAAGGGGAAUUCCACGUGUAGCGGUGAAAUGCGUAGAGAUGUGGGGGAAUACCAGUGGCGAAGGCGCCUUGCUGGACAGUGACUGACGCUGAGGCACGAAAGCGUGGGGAGCAAACAGGAUUAGAUACCCUGGUAGUCCACGCUGUAAACGAUGAGUGCUAGGUGUUGGGGGUUCAUCCCCUCAGUGCCGAAGGAAACCCAAUAAGCACUCCGCCUGGGGAGUACGGUCGCAAGACUGAAACUCAAAGGAAUUGACGGGGGCCCGCACAAGCAGUGGAGCAUGUGGUUUAAUUCGAAGCAACGCGAAGAACCUUACCAGGGCUUGACAUCCCUCUGACCGGUUCAGAGAUGGGCCUUCCCUUCGGGGCAGAGGAGACAGGUGGUGCAUGGUUGUCGUCAGCUCGUGUCGUGAGAUGUUGGGUUAAGUCCCGCAACGAGCGCAACCCUUGACCUGUGUUACCAGCACGUAAUGGUGGGGACUCACAGGUGACUGCCGGCGUAAGUCGGAGGAAGGUGGGGAUGACGUCAAAUCAUCAUGCCCUUUAUGUCCUGGGCUACACACGUGCUACAAUGGGCGGUACAACGGGAAGCGAGACCGCGAGGUGGAGCGAAACCCAAAAAGCCGUUCGUAGUUCGGAUUGCAGGCUGCAACCCGCCUGCAUGAAGCCGGAAUUGCUAGUAAUCGCGGAUCAGCAUGUCGCGGUGAAUCCGUUCCCGGGCCUUGCACACACCGCCCGU